Molecule: transfer RNA, 87 nt
Organism: Kockovaella imperatae
Lineage: Eukaryota; Fungi; Basidiomycota; Tremellomycetes; Tremellales; Cuniculitremaceae
Rfam family: tRNA
About the family: Transfer RNA (tRNA) molecules are approximately 80 nucleotides in length. Their secondary structure includes four short double-helical elements and three loops (D, anti-codon, and T loops). Further hydrogen bonds mediate the characteristic L-shaped molecular structure. tRNAs have two regions of fundamental functional importance: the anti-codon, which is responsible for specific mRNA codon recognition, and the 3' end, to which the tRNAs corresponding amino acid is attached (by aminoacyl-tRNA synthetases). tRNAs cope with the degeneracy of the genetic code in two manners: having more than one tRNA (with a specific anti-codon) for a particular amino acid; and 'wobble' base-pairing, i.e. permitting non-standard base-pairing at the 3rd anti-codon position.
Source: Rfam
GCCUCUAUGGCGCAGUAGGUAGCGCAUCUGGCUUUUACUUAAAGCAUAUCAACCAGCAGGUCUCGGGUUCGAACCCCGAUGGAGGCU